CCUACGGGAGGCAGCAGUAGGGAAUCUUCCGCAAUGGACGAAAGUCUGACGGAGCAACGCCGCGUGAGUGAUGAAGGUUUUCGGAUCGUAAAGCUCUGUUGUUAGGGAAGAACAAGUACCGUUCGAAUAGGGCGGUACCUGACGUACCUA
Molecule: ribosomal RNA, 150 nt
Filed under: uncultured bacterium
Lineage: Bacteria
Description: partial 16S ribosomal RNA
Rfam family: Bacterial small subunit ribosomal RNA
Source: RNAcentral